UAUUUCCUACGGGGGGCAGCAGUGGGGAAUAUUGCGCAAUGGGGGCAACCCUGACGCAGCAACGCCGCGUGCAGGAAGAAGGUCUUCGGAUUGUAAACUGUUGUCGCAAGGGAAGAAGACAGUGACGGUACCUUGUGAGAAAGUCACGGCUAACUACGUGCCAGCAGCCGCGGUAAUACGUAGGUGGCAAGCGUUGUCCGGAUUUACUGGGUGUAAAGGGCGUGUAGCCGGGCUGACAAGUCAGAUGUGAAAUCCCGUGGCUCAACCACGGAACUGCAUUUGAAACUGUCGGUCUUGAGUAUCGG
RNAcentral lists this ribosomal RNA (305 nucleotides) under uncultured bacterium. RNAcentral's name for it is "bacterial SSU rRNA". It matches the Rfam family "Bacterial small subunit ribosomal RNA", at positions 333 to 652 of the family's 1533-position model. The record is from RNAcentral.